RNAcentral lists this long non-coding RNA (812 nucleotides) under Homo sapiens (human). RNAcentral describes it as "HSALNT0183011". Lineage: Eukaryota; Metazoa; Chordata; Mammalia; Primates; Hominidae. The record is from RNAcentral.
AGUUCUUGUCACACAAGAAUGCUCAAUUGAAAUAACAUCAUGAAUGGUGUCUGAAUUAUCUAGAUCAAUUCUCCCGUAUGUGUUGUUUUCUGGUAGUCAACAGACUAAGCUUCAAUCAAGCUAGGUAAUUAUCUGGAUAAGUGAGACAACUAGUAAUAGCAAAACCCAAAUCUACAGUAACCCAGACAUAAGUGAACUCACUAGGACAAUUUAGGCUGAUGCAGAUGGAGGAGAUGAAGGAACCAGAGUACAGUAUCCAAAUAGUUUCAUGACAGUCUUGGCUCAUGCGAUACUGUUACACCAAAAGAAAAAAAAAAGAAAGAAAAGAAAAAAGAAUUACUGCCUACAGAGGAGUAAAGAGGUAGGGACAAGGCUAAGUAGAAGAAUUCUGAGGUCAUUCCUCAGUGUUCUAGCUGGAGGCUUCUAAAGCAUUAUGAGCUGUGUGGUCAAGUUCAAUACUAAGAACAUGGCCUUAGAAUGUAAAAAUGAAUGGCCACUUCCAGGUAUGGCUGAGAAGGGUGAAAAUGCAUGCACCCACAGACACACACACACACCGUGGAAAUGAGGAAAAGUUACUUCUCUCUGUUGUAAAUUUAAAUGCAGUCCAGAGUAGUGAAGGCCGUUUGUAAGGUCUGCUGAGCUAAUGGAUUCAUAAUGACUUUUAAAGCUUCACUCGGUACAUCCUAUGUGCCAGACACUGCGAUAGGUUCUGGAGAUAACAACAGUGUCCAAGAAACAACAGUGUCCAAGAAACAGGACUUUCCCUCAAAGAGCUUACUGGGGAAGCCAGCAAGACCAGCAGACAAACACAG